This 483-nucleotide ribosomal RNA is filed under the name uncultured bacterium. RNAcentral describes it as "partial 16S ribosomal RNA". It matches the Rfam family "Bacterial small subunit ribosomal RNA", at positions 30 to 507 of the family's 1533-position model. The record is from RNAcentral.
UUGAACGCUGGCGGCAGGCCUAACACAUGCAAGUCGAGCGGAUGAAGGGAGCUUGCUCCUGGAUUCAGCGGCGGACGGGUGAGUAAUGCCUAGGAAUCUGCCUGGUAGUGGGGGAUAACGUCCGGAAACGGGCGCUAAUACCGCAUACGUCCUGAGGGAGAAAGUGGGGGAUCUUCGGACCUCACGCUAUCAGAUGAGCCUAGGUCGGAUUAGCUAGUUGGUGGGGUAAAGGCCUACCAAGGCGACGAUCCGUAACUGGUCUGAGAGGAUGAUCAGUCACACUGGAACUGAGACACGGUCCAGACUCCUACGGGAGGCAGCAGUGGGGAAUAUUGGACAAUGGGCGAAAGCCUGAUCCAGCCAUGCCGCGUGUGUGAAGAAGGUCUUCGGAUUGUAAAGCACUUUAAGUUGGGAGGAAGGGCAGUAAGUUAAUACCUUGCUGUUUUGACGUUACCAACAGAAUAAGCACCGGUUAACUUCGUG